GACGAACGCUGGCGGCGUGCUUAACACAUGCAAGUCGAACGCUCAAGCUCAGCUUGCUGGGUGGAUGAGUGGCGAACGGGUGAGUAACACGUGAGUAACCUGCCCUCUUCUUUGGGAUAACGCCCGGAAACGGGUGCUAAUACUGGAUAUUCACUGAUUCUCGCAUGGGGGUUGGUGGAAAGGUUUUUUCUGGUGGGGGAUGGGCUCGCGGCCUAUCAGCUUGUUGGUGGGGUGAUGGCCUACCAAGGCUUUGACGGGUAGCCGGCCUGAGAGGGUGACCGGUCACAUUGGGACUGAGAUACGGCCCAGACUCCUACGGGAGGCAGCAGUGGGGAAUAUUGCACAAUGGGCGAAAGCCUGAUGCAGCGACGCCGCGUGAGGGAUGGAGGCCUUCGGGUUGUAAACCUCUUUCGCUCAUGGUCAAGCCGCAGCUUUGGGUUGUGGUGAGGGUAGUGGGUAAAGAAGCGCCGGCUAACUACGUG
This 482-nucleotide ribosomal RNA is filed under the name uncultured bacterium. RNAcentral's name for it is "partial 16S ribosomal RNA". It matches the Rfam family "Bacterial small subunit ribosomal RNA", at positions 28 to 507 of the family's 1533-position model. The record is from RNAcentral.